RNAcentral lists this non-coding RNA (32 nucleotides) under Mus musculus (house mouse). The record is from RNAcentral. Lineage: Eukaryota; Metazoa; Chordata; Mammalia; Rodentia; Muridae.
UGGACUUCCCUAUGAUCGUGACUUUCCCGCCU